RNA transcript from Entelurus aequoreus (snake pipefish), 961 nucleotides. It is a transcript of the gene named matrix Gla protein-like, with no coding region annotated. The record is from RefSeq and is a predicted model, not a curated record. Lineage: Eukaryota; Metazoa; Chordata; Actinopteri; Syngnathiformes; Syngnathidae. The transcript is spliced from 5 exons.
UAGAAGAAGAUUACUCCUUUCAACCCUGAAAAACAAAUGGAAAUAAAAGGCGAAAAUAGGACUUUUAAACAACAGCAAUCCAUCCAUCCAUUUUCUACUGCUUGUCCCUUUCGGGGUCGCAGGGUUGUGUUGCAGCCUAUCUCAGCUGCAUUCGGGCGGAAGGCGGACAACAAAUGUUCCACCGCGAGCGAGUCAUUGUUUCCUGGCGGACCUUUUUAAGUGACGGACGCAUUGCUCCAGACCAGCAACACGUGAACAGUCGGCAGAAAGCGGAGGACACAAACAUGUCAGAACAAGGCGGCGAGGCGUGAGCCAGGUCGGAACACUUUCCCUUCCACGCCAAGACGGAAGUCCCAGGAGAAGGUCAGUCCGAGGCUCCGCCCCCUCGUGCCACCUGCUGCCAAGGAGACUACGUCAAAGAUCAAUCUGGAAGGAUUUAGUCCUCUAACACCUCGACACGCAGAUUUACAACCAGGAGGAGAAGAAGAACCUUCUGGUCCCGUUGGUGCGCCAUGUGACUGCUCAGUUCCACCUGUGUCCACCAUGUGAUGUCAUGUCACUUGACCUGGGAGGAAGUCAGGAUGUACCAAGACUGCGCGUGCAGUUGACAACAAGUGCAAAAGUUGCACAGGCCGCCCCAUUCAAAUGAGGUUUCUGCGCACUAAACGGCGUGUGCAAACUUGAAAAUAGUGUGGGAUCUACUAAGACCGCGUGUGGGCCACCUUCUGUCCACCCGAGGGUAGCCGGAGUAGCCAACCAGGACCUAUGAGGCCCACGUCAGGGGCCGAAAGGGAGCUGGUCCUGGAAGCUGUGGGGUGUGAGCGAGGAGGGUUCCCUGGAGAGACUGGAGAACUCCUGCAGAGCCAGGUGACCAGGGACUCUAUUGGGACCUUAAUGAGCAUUUGCUCCAGAGUCCAGGGUGUGGCCGGUCUUCCCGAGGUCUCGCACGUAUGGAAGAUUU